RNAcentral lists this transfer RNA (72 nucleotides) under bacterium. Its description in RNAcentral is "tRNA-Arg". It matches the Rfam family "tRNA". From Rfam's summary of the family: Transfer RNA (tRNA) molecules are approximately 80 nucleotides in length. Their secondary structure includes four short double-helical elements and three loops (D, anti-codon, and T loops). Further hydrogen bonds mediate the characteristic L-shaped molecular structure. tRNAs have two regions of fundamental functional importance: the anti-codon, which is responsible for specific mRNA codon recognition, and the 3' end, to which the tRNAs corresponding amino acid is attached (by aminoacyl-tRNA synthetases). tRNAs cope with the degeneracy of the genetic code in two manners: having more than one tRNA (with a specific anti-codon) for a particular amino acid; and 'wobble' base-pairing, i.e. permitting non-standard base-pairing at the 3rd anti-codon position. The record is from RNAcentral.
GUCCCUGUAGCUUAACGGAUAAAGUGUCUGUCUUCUAAACAGACGAUGGAGGUUCGAUUCCUCCCAGGGACA